AUGUUUGUGUACACGCCUGAGGAUGGGGCUGCGGCCGAUCAGGCAGUUGGUGAGGUAACGGCUCACCAAACCUUUGACCGGUACGGGCCGUGAGAGCGGUAGCCCGGAGAUGGACACUGAGACAAGGGUCCAGGACCUACGGGUCGCAGCCGGUACGAAACCUCCACAAUGCACGCAAGUGCGAUGGGGUUACCUCGAGUGCCGCCUGAAGAAGGCGGCUUUUCCAUUGUGUAAUGAGCCGUGGGAAUAAGGGGGGGGCAAGACUGGUGUCAGCCGCCGCGGUAACACCAGCCCCCCGAGUGGUGGGGAUGUUUAUUUGGCCUAAAACGUCCGUAGCCAGCUAGGUAAAUCUCUCGUUAAAUCCAGCGUCCUAAGCGUUGGGCUGCGAGAGAGACUGCCAAGCUAGAGGGUGGGAGAGGUCAGCGGUAUUUCUGGGGUAGGGGCGAAAUCCAUUGAUCCCAGGAGGACCACCAGUGGCGAAGGCUGCUGACUAGAACACGCCUGACGGUGAGGGACGAAAGCUGGGGUAGCGAAUCGGAUUAGAUACCCGAGUAGUCCCAGCCGUAAACGAUGCAGGCUAGGUGUUGGGUUGGCCACGUGCCGACUCAGUGCCACAGGGAAGCCAUUAAGCCUGCUGCCUGGGGAGUACGGUCGCAAGGCUGAAACUUAAAGGAAUUGGCGGGAGAG
This 687-nucleotide ribosomal RNA is filed under the name uncultured archaeon. Its description in RNAcentral is "bacterial SSU rRNA". It matches the Rfam family "Archaeal small subunit ribosomal RNA", at positions 187 to 876 of the family's 1478-position model. The record is from RNAcentral.